AAUAUAUGUGAUGAAGAUCUUACGUUUACGUUUCCAUUAGAAUCUCUGUAUUCCACUUUCACCCACUUGUUAACAUUUGCAAUACAUGUUUAGAUGUAUAUAAAAUGUGAAACAAAGCUGGACAGAUGCGACUCAAUCCCUGCUAUCCCUUUCACGAGAACGAUUCCUCUGUAAUAAAUGUUUAGAAAAGAAAUUUCAAAGUCUUUAAACAAAAAAGGGAUAGAAGAAAAUUCAAAGUCAACCGAUAUACACGAGUCAUUUUCAAAAUUGAUUUUUCUCUCUGGAUUUUUUAUGGAACAUAACUUAGGUUCAGGAGGUGAUCUUUAAAUUCACAUCUUCUUCCAGAACCAAUCAAAAUGCCACGUAGAUAAUUAAUUAAAAAAGAUUAAAUUUAUUUAAAAAUAACUAAAAAAAAUAACGCCAAUUUUAACAACGAUGAUGCUGCUAGCUGAACCGUAAACCCUAAAUCUUAAAUUCUAAAUCCUAAACCUUAAAUCCUAAACCUUAAAUCCUAAACUCUAAACCCUAUACCCUAAACCCAAAUCGUAUACCCUAAACCCAAACUGUAUACUCUAAACGCAAACCAUAAACCCAAAUCAUAUACCCUAAACCUAAAUCCUACACCCUA
Molecule: long non-coding RNA, 628 nt
Filed under: Brassica napus (rape)
Lineage: Eukaryota; Viridiplantae; Streptophyta; Magnoliopsida; Brassicales; Brassicaceae
Description: long non-coding RNA (BNAP_LNC017331)
Source: RNAcentral